CCUGCCCCCUCUCACCCACUCUCCACAGCGGCUCUUCCAAACCUUUUCAUCCUUCCUCCAACCUUCCACAAGAGCCUUCUGCCCACACCUCAGCAGAGACCCUCAUCCCCCAUUACAGAAAAAGGAGGCUAUUCGCUGUUCAGACGACGGGCAUCUUCGGAGCUGAGCCGAUUCAGGUAAAGAGGAGGAGACGGUCUGCUCACGCCAGGCGCCGGAAGUGCUGCGUCGGAGACGCCGAGAACCACUUCUUUUACUUGCGGGUGGGAAUCCGCCGUCUGAGCCACCCUCCCGUGUCGAGCGGAACGAAGCCAGGACUUCCUUGUCACACUAUGUGUACACUAAGGCUACGUGUGCACGGUGUUUGCUGGUGACACAGACAAAGGGCUUCUGAACCCGGGAACGAGGAGGUUCAGGUGGGCGGUGGAGUGAAGGGGGAAAAGAAAAGGGAGGGAGGGGGAGCAAGGCCGGGAGGACCGUGUCCAUCCGUGGUGAGCCGAAGGCUUGGGCCUCGUCUUCUGGCGGUGCGAUCCCCAGACGCCUCCCGGAUCGGCAGGUGCUGGGGGAUGGGUACGGGCUGCCUUCUCAGAGUAUUUAAAUAUUCACAUCAUGCACAACUGUGGCAGGUUCAUACACCGCAACAUAAUGGAAAAGACUUUCUACACUGAAUCAGGAGUAGGGUCCAAAGCAGAGCUGGAAAAUAAAUAUCUUGCAUAUAUCUCAAACUCUAUUCUUCAAACAAAACCUUACACCUCAUCAAAGAAGUCAGAGAAGGCCGGAGGGAAGUCCGAGGCCUUCCUCUACAACUGUCUCAUCUCUGAGGCUGA
Long non-coding RNA from Sarcophilus harrisii (Tasmanian devil), 824 nucleotides. The record is from Ensembl. NCBI's taxonomy places the organism in Eukaryota, Metazoa, Chordata, Mammalia, Dasyuromorphia, Dasyuridae.